GGGGAUGUAGCUCAGUGGUAGAGCAUUUGCCUAACAUGCAUAAGGUCCCGAGUUCUAUCCCUA
This 63-nucleotide transfer RNA is filed under the name Heterocephalus glaber (naked mole-rat). It matches the Rfam family "tRNA". From Rfam's summary of the family: Transfer RNA (tRNA) molecules are approximately 80 nucleotides in length. Lineage: Eukaryota; Metazoa; Chordata; Mammalia; Rodentia; Bathyergidae. The record is from Rfam by way of RNAcentral.